Molecule: non-coding RNA, 72 nt
Organism: Podarcis lilfordi (Lilford's wall lizard)
Lineage: Eukaryota; Metazoa; Chordata; Lepidosauria; Squamata; Lacertidae
Source: the annotation of a GenBank genome assembly
AGAGAUGUAGCUCAGUGGUAGAGCACUUGCUUUGCAUGUAGGAGGUCUCUGGUUCAAUCCUCAGCAUCUCCA